GACGAACGCUGGCGGCGUGCUUAACACAUGCAAGUCGUACGGUAAGGCCCUUUCGGGGGUACACGCGUGGCGAACGGGCGGGUAACACGUGCGUAACCUGCCCACCCCUUUGGGAUAACGAUCGGAAACUGGUGCUAAUACUGGAUAUGUGCUCCUGCCGCAUGGUGGGGGGUGGAAAGCUCCGGGGGGUGUGGAUGGACUCGCGGGCUAUCAGGUUGUUGGUGGGGUAGUGGCCUACCAAGGCGGCGACGGGUAGGCGGCCUGGGAGGGUGACCGGGCACAUUUGGACUGGGGUACGGCCCAGAAUCCUACGGGGGGCAACAGUGGGGAAUAUUGGACAAUGGGGGGGAGCCUGAUGCAACAAAGGCGCGUGCGGGGUGACGGGCUUCGGGUUGUAAACCGCCUUCCGCAGGGGCGGAGGCGUGUGUGACGGUACCUGCUGAAGAAGCACCGGCUAACUACGUG
Molecule: ribosomal RNA, 465 nt
Filed under: uncultured bacterium
Lineage: Bacteria
Description: partial 16S ribosomal RNA
Rfam family: Bacterial small subunit ribosomal RNA
Source: RNAcentral